UACGGAGGGUGCAAACGUUGCUCGGAAUCACUGGGCGUAAAGCGCGCGUAGGCGGUCCAGAAAGUUGGAUGUGAAAGCCCUGGGCUCAACCCAGGAAGUGCAUUCAAAACUAUUGGACUUGAAUCUCGGAGGGGGCCAGAGAAUUCCCGGUGUAGAGGUGAAAUUCGUAGAUAUCGGGAGGAAUACCAGUGGCGAAAGGC
RNAcentral lists this ribosomal RNA (200 nucleotides) under uncultured bacterium. RNAcentral's name for it is "partial 16S ribosomal RNA". It matches the Rfam family "Bacterial small subunit ribosomal RNA", at positions 524 to 722 of the family's 1533-position model. The record is from RNAcentral.